Apis dorsata (giant honeybee) is the source of this 287-nucleotide long non-coding RNA. RefSeq lists it as uncharacterized. The record is from RefSeq and is a predicted model, not a curated record. NCBI's taxonomy places the organism in Eukaryota, Metazoa, Arthropoda, Insecta, Hymenoptera, Apidae. The transcript has 2 exons.
CAGUAGUAUAAAUGAAUCCAACGAAAUACAUAAAAUCAGCGCAGUUGAUGUAAUUUUAAAUUUAUUUAACUGACCAGCAGCGUGGCAUGCAAAUACAGUAGCAAGGCUGAAAGCGAUAACAACGGUAGCACUCAUAAUGCAUCCUGUCAGAAAUUGAAAACCAAGAACGAUACUGUGCUCUAGAUUAGUAUCAACCGGAAUUUUGUAGGUUGGAAAAGGUAAGACAUGUAUUUCCAUACUUUCGUUGCCGAUUUUGAUUUUCUGUUUGAAAACUCCAAAUACGAUGC